UCUUAAAGUUUGACCUCAAAUCAGGUAGGAGUACCCGCUGAACUUAAGCAUAUCAAUAAGCGGAGGAAAAGAAACCAACCGGGAUUGCCUUAGUAACGGCGAGUGAAGCGGCAAAAGCUCAAAUUUGAAAUCUGGUACCUUUGGUGCCCGAGUUGUAAUUUGGAGAGGGCAACUUUGGGACCGUUCCUUGUCUAUGUUCCUUGGAACAGGACGUCAUAGAGGGUGAGAAUCCCGUGUGGCGAGGAGUGCGGUUCUAUGUAAAGUGCCUUCGAAGAGUCGAGUUGUUUGGGAAUGCAGCUCUAAGUGGGUGGUAAAUUCCAUCUAAAGCUAAAUAUUGGCGAGAGACCGAUAGCGAACAAGUACAGUGAUGGAAAGAUGAAAAGAACUUUGAAAAGAGAGUGAAAAAGUACGUGAAAUUGUUGAAAGGGAAGGGCAUUUGAUCAGACAUGGUGUUUUGCGCCCUCUGCUCCUUGUGGGUGGGGGAAUCUCGCAGUUCACUGGGCCAGCAUCAGUUUUGGUGGCAGGAUAAAUCCGUAGGAAUGUAACUUGCUUCGGGAAGUAUUAUAGCCUAUGGGAAUACUGCCAGCUGGGACUGAGGACUGCGACGUAAGUCAAGGAUGCUGGCAUAAUGGUUAUAUGCCGCCCGUCUUGAAACACGGAC
RNAcentral lists this ribosomal RNA (661 nucleotides) under Saccharomyces x bayanus. RNAcentral's name for it is "LSU rRNA". It matches the Rfam family "Eukaryotic large subunit ribosomal RNA", at positions 1 to 666 of the family's 3401-position model. The record is from RNAcentral. Lineage: Eukaryota; Fungi; Ascomycota; Saccharomycetes; Saccharomycetales; Saccharomycetaceae.